This 1526-nucleotide ribosomal RNA is filed under the name Burkholderia ambifaria. Its description in RNAcentral is "partial 23S ribosomal RNA". It matches the Rfam family "Bacterial large subunit ribosomal RNA", at positions 1 to 1579 of the family's 2925-position model. Lineage: Bacteria; Pseudomonadati; Pseudomonadota; Betaproteobacteria; Burkholderiales; Burkholderiaceae. The record is from RNAcentral.
GGUCAAGCGAACAAGUGCAUGUGGUGGAUGCCUUGGCGAUCACAGGCGAUGAAGGACGCGGUAGCCUGCGAAAAGCUACGGGGAGCUGGCAAACGAGCUUUGAUCCGUAGAUGUCCGAAUGGGGAAACCCACUCCUUUUGGAGUAUCCAUGGCUGAAUACAUAGGCCAUGUGAAGCGAACGCGGUGAACUGAAACAUCUAAGUAACCGCAGGAAAAGAAAUCAACCGAGAUUCCCAAAGUAGUGGCGAGCGAAAUGGGAUGAGCCUUGCACUCUUUAUUUGUAUUGUUAGCCGAACGCUCUGGAAAGUGCGGCCAUAGCAGGUGAUAGCCCUGUAGGCGAAAACAGUAUGAAAGAACUAGGUGUGCGACAAGUAGGGCGGGACACGUGAAAUCCUGUCUGAAGAUGGGGGGACCAUCCUCCAAGGCUAAAUACUCGUGAUCGACCGAUAGUGAACCAGUACCGUGAGGGAAAGGCGAAAAGAACCCCGGGAGGGGAGUGAAAUAGAUCCUGAAACCGCAUGCAUACAAACAGUCGGAGCCUCGCAAGGGGUGACGGCGUACCUUUUGUAUAAUGGGUCAGCGACUUACGUUCAGUAGCAAGCUUAACCGUAUAGGGCAGGCGUAGCGAAAGCGAGUCCGAAUAGGGCGUUCAGUUGCUGGGCGUAGACCCGAAACCAAGUGAUCUAUCCAUGGCCAGGAUGAAGGUGCGGUAACACGUACUGGAGGUCCGAACCCACUAACGUUGAAAAGUUAGGGGAUGAGCUGUGGAUAGGGGUGAAAGGCUAAACAAACUUGGAAAUAGCUGGUUCUCUCCGAAAACUAUUUAGGUAGUGCCUCGUGUCUCACCUUCGGGGGUAGAGCACUGUCAUGGUUGGGGGGUCUAUUGCAGAUUACCCCGCCAUAGCAAACUCCGAAUACCGAAGAGUGCAAUCACGGGAGACAGACAUCGGGUGCUAACGUCCGGUGUCAAGAGGGAAACAACCCAGACCGCCAGCUAAGGUCCCCAAAUAUAGCUAAGUGGGAAACGAAGUGGGAAGGCUAAAACAGUCAGGAGGUUGGCUUAGAAGCAGCCACCCUUUAAAGAAAGCGUAAUAGCUCACUGAUCGAGUCGUCCUGCGCGGAAGAUGUAACGGGGCUAAGCUAUAUACCGAAGCUGCGGAUGCGAGCUUUGCUCGCAUGGUAGGAGAGCGUUCCGUAAGCCUGCGAAGGUGCGUUGAAAAGCGUGCUGGAGGUAUCGGAAGUGCGAAUGCUGACAUGAGUAGCGAUAAAGGGGGUGAAAGGCCCCCUCGCCGUAAGCCCAAGGUUUCCUACGCAACGUUCAUCGGCGUAGGGUGAGUCGGCCCCUAAGGCGAGGCAGAAAUGCGUAGCUGAUGGGAAGCAGGUCAAUAUUCCUGCACCAUUGUUAGAUGCGAUGGGGGGACGGAUCGCGGAAGGUUGUCCGGGUGUUGGAAGUCCCGGUCGCUGCAUUGGAGAAGGCGCUUAGGCAAAUCCGGGCGCGCAAUUCAAGGGUGUGGCGCGAGCUCCUU